RNAcentral lists this long non-coding RNA (473 nucleotides) under Homo sapiens (human). RNAcentral's name for it is "HSALNT0284335". The record is from RNAcentral. Lineage: Eukaryota; Metazoa; Chordata; Mammalia; Primates; Hominidae.
UUAGAGACAGGGUCUUGCUCCAUCACCCAGGCUGGAGUUCAGUGGCAUAUUCACAGCUCGCUGCAGCUUUCACCUUCCAGGUUCAAGUUGUCUUCCCACCUCAGCCUCCCAAGUAGCUGGGACCACAGGAGGAAAUCUCUUCACUGCUGGCACUGACAAUGGAAGACUGAGGGUGCCCGGGAUCCUUCACCCCCACAUCCAGUGAGUCCACGGAACCCAGGGUAACUGGGAUGGUAUCUGAUUGCUGUUGAAUAUCUUUAAUAUACCAAAACCUGCAAGGUGCUAGACAUACAAGAAAAAAUCCAAAUCUGUUGUUCUCCUUGUCUCGGAGCUGACCCUUUCCAGCAGAUGAUAUCACCUCUAAGGUCUCAAAACUUUUCUUUUGAGUUAUUGAUAGCUUUUAACAAUUUAUUUUACUCCUAAGGACAAAAUUUGGGGCAUAUUUGUUUCUCUCGACCUGAUUUCUGCAGAAU